ACAUUCGAACGCUGUUGAUUCAGACGCGGAGCGGACCGAGCGCAAUCUUUUCUGGCUUCGAUCGUCGCAGCCGCGGAUGUUCCUGACGUCGGAUGUAGCCUUACUCUAGUCGUCGUCAUGGAUGUUCGCCGCGAUCCCGUGCCGUUGCCGGCGCUCUGUCCCGCUCCCCGCUCCGGUGACACUCUCUGCCGCACUCUGCGAAUGUCGCCACACGUGUUCGCGGUAAAAUUUUGGCUGCUCAGCCGGUGACGUCUGCAUUUUUUGAUCUAUACUUUUUGAAGAAGUAACUUGAGUUUUAUCCAGCGACAAUGUUUAAACGCGCACGAAAAUCGGUGUCGUUUCAGGACCGGCAUGAGGCUACCAGAAGUGUUAUGUACGAUGGGUUUUUAGCGCUAGUGAUGGAGCCUGCAACGGGGGAUGAUGAAGCUCCCAAGGAUCCCGGCGCCAAGCAAACAAAACACCAAAGCUACACCGAGAAAGACUUCGAGGGUCACCGAGCACACACCAUGUACGUGGGCGUACACGUGCCUGGAGGUGGCGGCCACAAGCGACACCGUCGACACCACAAGCACCACCACAAGACCAACGACCAAGUCAGCGAUGACGAGGAGAGACAGAAUCGAGGAGGCCGUGUGGUCUUACAGCGCGCCCGAUUGGCCAGUAUAGCUGGUCUUGCUUCCGAAGAUAAGGAGAUGAUGACUCCACCGGCUCAGCGCGUACAGUUCAUCUUGGGAGAGGAUGCUCAGGAUGAGACUCACGAGUGCCAUCCUCUCUUCUCUGAGAUGGAAGAGCUUGUUCACGGCGAAGGUGAUGUCCUCGAAUGGAAAGAAACUGCCAGGUGGAUAAAAUUCGAGGAAGACGUGGAGGAAGGUGGCAACCGAUGGUCAAAGCCACACGUGGCCACUCUGUCGCUGCACUCUGUGUUGGAGCUGCGCAGCUUCCUCAUGAACGGCACAGUCAUGCUCGACAUGGAGGCUGCCUCCCUCGAACAGGUCGCCGACCUCGUACUCGACAACAUGGUCAACUCCACGGCGCUCCCCCACCAUGCCAGGGACAAGGUGAAAGAGGCUCUUCUACGCAGACACAGGCACCAGCAUGAGAGGCGGAAAGACAACGUCUCCAGGCUGCCAAUCAUCAGGUCACUGGCCGAGAUUGGCCGCAAUCAUUCCUCCUCAAAAACUUGUGAGUCGAUAAAUAUUGGUCGUAGUAGCAGUUUUCCAACGCCCGAAACAGCUCUGCUAUCAUGCCCUCAAUCUUCAGGGCAGUACCUCACUGUGCCAGGUUCUGCUAAAAGUGCAGCUCACAUAGGUGAGGGGAUGGACCGUAGUCCAAGCUCAAUAUCAAUGAGUCGAAAUCAUAGCGCUGGUGAUUUAUGCAACGAGCAUCCGAAAGUGAACAUGAAUUUCAUGCGUAAAAUACCUCAUGGAGCCGAGACUUCGAAUAUCCUUGUUGGAGAAGUUGAUUUCUUAGAAAAGACCCUCUCAGCAUUCAUUCGUUUGAAAAAUGCAACACUGCUGGGAGAUUUGACUGAAGUUCCUGUACCGACCAGAUUCCUGUUUAUUCUUCUUGGACCAACUGGUGGUAUAUCUGGCUUCCACGAAGUUGGCAGAGCAAUGGCCACUUUGAUGUCUGACGAAGUUUUCCACGAAGUUGCUUACAAGGCAAAAAACCGAUCCUACCUUCUGUCAGCUGUUGAUGAAUUCCUCGACGCUGUCACCGUUCUUCCUCCCGGCGAAUGGGAUCCUACCAUUCGAAUUGAACCACCAGCCGCCAUUCCAUCACAAGACACCCGGAAAAGACCCCCAGAAAAACCAAUAGAAGAGAAGGAUGAAGAACUUGAAGAGCAAAAAUUAAGAGAAGAGUCUGGGUUGUCAAGGACAGGAAGACUGUUUGGUGGUCUGAUAAAUGAUGUCAAAAGGAAAACUCCGUGGUACAUUUCAGAUUUUAAAGAUGCGCUUGCAAUGCAAUGUGUAGCAUCUUGGAUAUUCUUGUACUUCGCCUGUUUGUCACCCAUCAUUACCUUCGGAGGUCUUCUCAGCGAAGCUACCGGGAAAAAUAUGGCUGCCAUGGAGUCUCUGAUCUCCGGAUUUGUGUGCGGCAUUGGAUAUGGACUCUUUUCCGGCCAGCCUCUCACUAUUCUUGGUUCAACUGGACCUGUCCUAGUCUUUGAAACAAUAGUUUACGAUUUUUGUAUGAGCAGUAGUUGGGAUUACAUGUCAUUCCGAUUAUGGAUUGGAUUGUGGAUAGCAUUCAUUCUGAUUGUUCUUGUUGCGAUCGACGCCAGUGCGUUUGUGUGUUACAUUACUAGGUUUACUGAAGAGAAUUUUGCUACGCUAAUUGCAUUCAUAUUCAUAUACAAGGCUGUGGAAAAUGUGCUACAAAUAGGUAAAAAAUUCCCCAUUAAUACGAAUAGGUUUAAUUAUACGUCGAGAAAUUGUAGUUGUAGACCGCCCACCACCAGUUUGAGUCCAGAUAUCGAGUCAGUCAGCUGGAAAGAUUUGGACAGAGAUUCUUGUUUGUUGUUUAAUGGAACCCUGGAGGGCCAUGAUUGUUUUGUGCCGAAGUAUGUACCAGAUGUCUUCCUUAUGUCCAUUAUAUUGUUCUUUGGAACGUUCCUUAUAUCAAUCCAGUUGAAAGAUUUCAAAAAUGCUUUGUUCUUCCCAUCCAAGGUUCGACAGUUUGUUAGUGAUUUUGCUGUUAUAAUUGCCAUUCUCAGUAUGUCCACCCUCGACUUCCUCACAGGAAUCAAAACUCCAAAAUUAGAGGUGCCUAGUGAGUUCAAGCCUACACUCCCAGACCGCGGCUGGAUGAUAAUGCCUUUUGGAAAAAAUCCGAUUUGGUCCAUAUUUCUUGCAAUCAUACCAGCUCUAUUGGGAACCAUUUUGAUAUUCAUGGAUCAGCAAAUAACUGCUGUUAUUGUUAAUAGGAAAGAAAAUAAAUUGAAGAAAGGCUGUGGCUACCACUUGGAUCUGUUCGUUCUGGCCAUCCUGAUCAUAAUCUGCUCAGUGAUGGGCCUGCCGUGGUUUGUGGCAGCCACCGUUCUCUCCAUCAACCACGUCAAUUCACUCAAAUUGGAGUCGGAAUGUGCGGCUCCCGGAGAAAAGCCUCAAUUCCUUGGAGUCAGAGAGCAGAGAGUGACUCACAUCCUAAUUUUCCUAAUGAUCGGUUUGUCAGUUUUGAUUACUCCGAUUCUGAGACACAUUCCAAUGCCUGUUCUGUUCGGUGUAUUCUUGUACAUGGGAGUUGCAUCUCUCAAAGGACUUCAGUUCUUCGAUAGAAUUCUAAUAAUGUUGAUGCCCGCCAAAUACCAACCAGAUUACAUGUUUCUCAGACAGGUUCCCAUCAAACGCGUUCAUCUGUUUACUGCAAUACAAUUGGCUUGCCUUAUAUUAUUGUGGCUUAUCAAAUCGUUUCAACAAACAUCAAUUUUGUUUCCUUUGAUGCUUGUUGUUAUGAUCGGCUUGAGGAAAUCAUUGGACUUCUUUUUCACUCAACGAGAGCUGAAAAUACUCGAUGACGUCAUGCCGGAAACAAUUAAAAGGACUGAAGACGAUGAGAGACAGCUAGAAAAUGAGGUUUAGAAGAGAAGCAGAUGGACUUAGAGGCUAAUGAGAACCUGCAAAUUCCUCUGGCAAACGGCAACAUUAUGAAGAUACCUCUGACGUCCAUCAAUAUAACAGAGGAGGUUAAUAAGACAGGAAUAUGGAAGCAGGUUAACAACAAGGCUGAUAAGAAGAAAAGUCCCGGGAAAAAUGUAUCGGUGAAAUUAAAAAAGAGAGGAAAUAAGAAAGAUGCCCUAACUGACGACGAAAAAACGAGACUGUCAACUAUGGCUGAAGAGGAUGAAGAAGAAAGUCUCAAUAUAAAGAAAACUCAGAAACGCCUACUGAAAGAUUACAUCAUUGUCAAAAAGAAGAGUGACGGUGAAGAAACACCAGUAUGAGAGUAAAUAAAUUCAUUAGCUGCCUUCCAUUUGAACCCGACACUCCAAUAGACAAAACAUAUCUUGAAGAGGACUGAGUUAUUGAUACCGUUCCGUGGCCAUCAUCAGCCACCAUCACCAGCACUAACCUUCAAAUAUUCCUCUGAAGUUUCUGUGUUCCAUUAGAACUUUUCAAAUUUAGAAACUCAAUUUUAUGAUGAAUGUUACACAUUUCUCAUUUUUAAUGUAGUGAACAUUCAGUAUGCUUAUAAGACAUUAUUUAUAGGAAAUUUUAUUUGUAAAGACAGCGUUGUAGAAAUGUAAAAUUUGUAUUCGAAUUAUUAUUGUAAUUAGAUGCUUUUUUGUACAAAUGUC
Nilaparvata lugens (brown planthopper) is the source of this 4297-nucleotide RNA transcript. It is a transcript of the gene named sodium bicarbonate cotransporter 3, with no coding region annotated. NCBI's taxonomy places the organism in Eukaryota, Metazoa, Arthropoda, Insecta, Hemiptera, Delphacidae. The transcript has 25 exons. The record is from RefSeq and is a predicted model, not a curated record.